CCUUAUUGCUUCCUCUGUUUUUCAGAUUGUUUUUCCGAAGAUGAAGUCGGUUACAGCAGUUCCUGGCACUUGGGCACAGUUGUCAAUCAAGCUACCUUAGACUUCCUGCCUUUAAACUCUUCCUCUGAGCCAGUGGUACUCUGGAAUCAAACAGACACCCAGGCUGGCAUACAGGGCAUGGGGAUGAUGGAAAGUCACUCAUGGGUGGUAUUGCGUGCCACCCAAAAGCAUCAGGGCCACUAUACCUUCAGAAACAGCGAUGGGCAAUUUCUGUCCAGAAAAAAACUGGAAGUGAAAGAACAGGUUGAGUGGUACACUCUGGAACGUGGUGAGACACUCAACAUCUAUAUCUUCCUGGACUCCACCCAGUUCAACCUCAACUAUUUUCAGGAAGGGGACCCAGAGGCCACACUUCUGAUUAGAAAGGGAAUAGAGAUGUAUGAUGAUCCCACCCGAAAUACGCUUGAGAUGUGGGAGAGCGGUUUUCGUUUCCAAAUGUCAAAUUUAGAGAACCAGGAUUCUGGCAAGUUUGAACUCAGAGACCAGGACAACAACUUGGCUUUAGUAGUUUGGCUGAAGGUAAAACCUCUUAUUCCUGUGGUGACUUACAUUUAUGUGGGAGUUUCAGUCGUUAUCCUGGUGGGUAUCUGUUGUUGUGUGAGGAAGUGCUGCUGUAAGAGGAACGCCUCCAAACGAAACGCCUCUGUUUCCACGUUGGGGCAGGUCGUGGUCCACCAAGACGAAACCUGUCACAUGACCAGUCAACCCUCAGGCCCAAGUCACGCCAGACCCCCAUAUUUUCAGAGUUAUGCUAGUGAACCGGUCGUCACAAUAUCCCCCGCAGCACCCUCCGGCCCAACGUAUCCCUACCAGCCCACUCCUCCUUCCCCCAAUCAAUCGUCCAAUGACACGCCGACCCUUAAGGAUGACCCCCACACUCAGGUGUCCACCUCCACAGGACUGGAUCCUCCUUCGUUCUCUCUGGGUUUCGACUGCCUCUCUUCGGAUUUUGAGACUCAGUUCAAGCUUUCUCAGACAUUAACCCACCACACUGACCUCUUGUCCAGCUCAGACCCUUUCUCCUCUGCAGAUGUCUACAACUCUGACAAACUGAACUUCCUGUAAAAGAAAAUACUGGAUUUGGUGGGACCCUACCACAUGUAGUUAUUUUCUUGUCUGGUCACGUCUGUUAUGUGGCCGAAUUCUAUGGAUAAGUAUGAAUUAUUUUAUAGUUCAUUUAUUGUUUAAGCAUAUGUGGGCACCUUCUAAGGAUUCUACAAGUCUACAUUGUUGAGUUUAGGAUGAGUGUAAGCCAAAUCACCAUCUCCAUUUUGAUACAUUUAUAUUUUCCACUUUUAUAUUUUUAUUCUCUGAGAAUUUGUGCCUUUUUAUCUAUUUUUUGUGCUCGAGUGGAUUAUCCAAUAUUUUGUACUGUGAGUAUUCACACCAGUGAGUGGUCACUUCUGUGAACCUAACUGCAUAUAUACAUAUCUACCUGCUUGCCUUAUAGCCCUGGUGCUGCCGGUCAUGGUUGUCUUGCCAGGCCUUUCUGACCUCAUAUAUUAUUGGACAACUCAGUGUCCCAUAUAGAAACUAUUCUAACUUUGUGUGUUGUUUUUGACUUUAAUAUAUUAUUAUAAAGAUGACUUAGCUUCUUUGUCUACCUCUGAAAAACAAUAAAACUAAGCGCUAAUACCUAUCACUGUUGUUUUUCAGUAAAAAAAGUAGAAAAUAUAUAGUGCAUGAUUAUGAAAGUAGCCUACUGAUAUCAAAUAUAUUGUCUCAUAAUAGGUUUUAUCUGUUACCGUUGUUUUGUGCGAUUAAAUAGUGCUA
RNA transcript from Osmerus eperlanus (European smelt), 1833 nucleotides. RefSeq lists it as uncharacterized. The transcript has 8 exons. NCBI's taxonomy places the organism in Eukaryota, Metazoa, Chordata, Actinopteri, Osmeriformes, Osmeridae. The record is from RefSeq and is a predicted model, not a curated record.